CCUACGGGUGGCAGCAGUGAGGAAUAUUGGUCAAUGGACGGAAGUCUGAACCAGCCAUGCCGCGUGCAGGAAGACGGCUCUAUGAGUUGUAAACUGCUUUUGUACAAGGGUAAACCUGAAUACGUGUAUUCAGCUGAAAGUACUGUACGAAUAAGGAUCGGCUAACUCCGUGCCAGCAGCCGCGGUAAUACGGAGGAUCCAAGCGUUAUCCGGAUUUAUUGGGUUUAAAGGGUGCGUAGGCGGAUUGAUAAGUUAGAGGUGAAAUGUCCGAGCUUAACUCGGGAAAUGCCGCUAAUAAUGUUUAUCUAGAGUGUAGGUGCGGUAGGGGGAAUGUAUGGUGUAGCGGGUAAAUGCUUAGAG
Molecule: ribosomal RNA, 360 nt
Filed under: uncultured bacterium
Lineage: Bacteria
Description: partial 16S ribosomal RNA
Rfam family: Bacterial small subunit ribosomal RNA
Source: RNAcentral